AUUGUGCCAGCAGCCGCGGUAAUACGCAGGGUGCGAGCGUUGUCCGGAAUUACUGGGCGUAAAGAGCUCGUAGGUGGUUUGUCGCGUUGUUCGUGAAAUCUCACGGCUUAACUGUGAGCGUGCGGGCGAUACGGGCAGACUGGAGUACUGCAGGGGAGACUGGAAUUCCUGGUGUAGCGGUGGAAUGCGCAGAUAUCAGGAGGAACACCGGUGGCGAAGGCGGGUCUCUGGGCAGUAACUGACGCUGAGGAGCGAAAUCUUGGGGGAGCGAACAGGAUUAGAUACCCUGGUAGUCCACGCCGUAAACGGUGGGUACUAGGUGUGGGUUUCCUUCCUUGGGAUCCGUGCCGUAGCUAACGCAUUAAGUACCCCGCCUGGGGAGUACGGCCGCAAGCUAAAAACUCAAAGGAAUUGACGGGGGCCCGCACAAGCGGCGGAACAUGUUGGAUUAAUUCGAUGCAACGCGAAGAACCUUACCUGGGUUUGACAUGCACAGGACGCCGGCAGAGAUGUCGGUUCCCUUGUGGCCUGUGUGCAGGUGGUGCAUGGCUGUCGUCAGCUCGUGUCGUGAGAUGUUGGGUUAAGUCCCGCAACGAGCGCAACCCUUGUCUCAUGUUGCCAGCGGGUAAUGCCGGGGACUCGUGAGAGACUGCCGGGGUCAACUCGGAGGAAGGUGGGGAUGACGUCAAGUCAUCAUGCCCCUUAUGUCCAGGGCUUCACACAUGCUACAAUGGCCGGUACAAAGGGCUGCGAUGCCGCGAGGUUAAGCGAAUCCUUUUAAAGCCGGUCUCAGUUCGGAUCGGGGUCUGCAACUCGACCCCGUGAAGUCGGAGUCGCUAGUAAUCGCAGAUCAGCAACGCUGCGGUGAAUACGUUCCCGGGCCUUGCACACACCGCCCGUC
This 901-nucleotide ribosomal RNA is filed under the name uncultured organism. Its description in RNAcentral is "SSU rRNA". It matches the Rfam family "Bacterial small subunit ribosomal RNA", at positions 500 to 1398 of the family's 1533-position model. The record is from RNAcentral.